Molecule: ribosomal RNA, 496 nt
Filed under: uncultured bacterium
Lineage: Bacteria
Description: partial 16S ribosomal RNA
Rfam family: Bacterial small subunit ribosomal RNA
Source: RNAcentral
GAUGAACGCUGGCGGCGUGCCUAAUACAUGCAAGUCGAGCGAACAGACGAGGAGCUUGCUCCUCUGACGUUAGCGGCGGACGGGUGAGUAACACGUGGAUAACCUACCUAUAAGACUGGGAUAACUUCGGGAAACCGGAGCUAAUACCGGAUAAUAUAUUGAACCGCAUGGUUCAAUAGUGAAAGACGGUUUUGCUGUCACUUAUAGAUGGAUCCGCGCCGCAUUAGCUAGUUGGUAAGGUAACGGCUUACCAAGGCAACGAUGCGUAGCCGACCUGAGAGGGUGAUCGGCCACACUGGAACUGAGACACGGUCCAGACUCCUACGGAAGGCAGCAGUAGGGAAUCUUCCGCAAUGGGCGAAAGCCUGACGGAGCAACGCCGCGUGAGUGAUGAAGGUCUUCGGAUCGUAAAACUCUGUUAUUAGGGAAGAACAAAUGUGUAAGUAACUAUGCACGUCUUGACGGUACCUAAUCAGAAAGCCACGGCUAACUACGU